Molecule: non-coding RNA, 446 nt
Organism: Arachis ipaensis
Lineage: Eukaryota; Viridiplantae; Streptophyta; Magnoliopsida; Fabales; Fabaceae
Source: RefSeq, a predicted model, not a curated record
GAAUCACCGUCGACCUAUUUUUACACAAACAAAUUUACUUCUUCUUUUCAAUAAAUUGUAGAUGCUUAUGGAGUUGCCAAGUGCCAGGAGGCAAAUCCCGGUGUAUACACAAUCAUCACCUUUCCGUUCCUUUUCGCUAUCAUGUUUGGUGACUGGGGCCAUGGCAUAUGCAUAUUGCUGGCUUCUUUGUACUUCAUAAUCAGAGAGAAAAAGUAUUCGAGUCAGAAACUUGGAGACAUCAUGCAAAUGGCAUUUGGCGAACGCUAUAUUAUUGUGAUGAUGGCAAUCUUCUCAAUCUACACUGGCUUCAUAUACAAUGAAUUCUUCUCUAUCCCGUUUGCUAUAUUUGCACCAUCUGCCUAUGCAUGCCGUGAUCCAUCAUGCAGGUGGUUGUCAGUACAAUUUAUUGAACUUAUUUUUUUUCUUCUAUGCUAAUUGGUCACAGU